UACGGAGGGUGCGAGCGUUGUCCGGAAUCACUGGGCGUAAAGGGCGCGUAGGCGGCCUGAUAAGUAGGGGGUGAAAUCCUGCGGCUUAACCGCAGGGCUGCCUUCUAAACUGUCGGCUAGAGCACGGUAGAGGCAGAUGGAAUUCCCGGUGUAGCGGUGGAAUGCGUAGAGAUCGGGAAGAACAUCAGUGGCGAAGGCGGUCUGCUGGGCCGUUGCUGACGCUGAGGCGCGACAGCGUGGGGAGCAAACAGG
This 252-nucleotide ribosomal RNA is filed under the name uncultured bacterium. RNAcentral's name for it is "partial 16S ribosomal RNA". It matches the Rfam family "Bacterial small subunit ribosomal RNA", at positions 524 to 776 of the family's 1533-position model. The record is from RNAcentral.